GACGAAGGGUGCGAGCGUUAUUCGGAGUAAUUGGGCGUAAAGGGUGCGUAGGCGGUGCACUAAGUCAACUGUUAAAUACCUCAGCCUAACUGAGGAAAGGCGGUUGAUACUGGUGUGCUUGAGGAUGGAAGAGAGAAGUGGAAUUCUCGGAGUAGCGGUAAAAUGCGUAGAUCUCGAGAGGAACACCAAUGGCGAAGGCAGCUUCUUGGUCCAUUCCUGACGCUGAGGCACGAAAGCGUGGGGAGCAAACAGG
RNAcentral lists this ribosomal RNA (253 nucleotides) under uncultured bacterium. Its description in RNAcentral is "partial 16S ribosomal RNA". It matches the Rfam family "Bacterial small subunit ribosomal RNA", at positions 524 to 776 of the family's 1533-position model. The record is from RNAcentral.